AACGAACGCUGGCGGCAUGCUUCAUACAUGCAAGUCGAACGGUUGUAGCAAUACAAUAGUGGCGAACGGGUGCGUAACACGUGGAUAAUCUGCCCUUUGGCGGGGGAUAUCGGCUGGAAACGGCCGGCAAUACCGCAUGUGGCCUACGGGGUUCCGACCCUGUAGAAGAAAGGCGCUUCACGGCGUCGCCAGAGGAUGAGUCCGCGGCCCAUUAGCUAGUUGGUGAGAUAAUAGCCCACCAAGGCUGUGAUGGGUAGCCGAGCUGAGAGGUUGAUCGGCCACACUGGGACUGAGACACGGCCCAGACACCUACGGGUGGCAGCAGUAGGGAAUAUUGGACAAUGGGCGAAAGCCUGAUCCAGCAAUGCCGCGUGAGUGACGAAGGAUUUCGGUCUGUAAAGCUCUUUUGUGAGGGAAGAAAUGACGCGUGAGGAAAUGCUCGCGUCUUGACGGUACCUCAUGAAUAAGGGACGGCUAACUCCGUG
RNAcentral lists this ribosomal RNA (485 nucleotides) under uncultured organism. Its description in RNAcentral is "bacterial SSU rRNA". It matches the Rfam family "Bacterial small subunit ribosomal RNA", at positions 29 to 507 of the family's 1533-position model. The record is from RNAcentral.